AUUGCAUUUGCCUAUGUAAGUACAUUUUCAGUCAUUUAUAAUUAAGAAUUAAAUAUUAGUAUUUUACUUUUUUUAAAGUUCGUUCUUAUAUUGUACUUUUACACCACUGUCUCAGUUUAGGGGAGGGUUGGGCUCCUGCUAAUAUUUUUAACCUCACCACAUGCUGAAUGUAUUUGUCCAGAAUCCGGAGCUUGUAAUUCACUGAAUGUCGUUUGUUUUGUGUUACAUUUUUGCUUUUCGUUCAUGUUUUGUACAUAAUUAUGCUGUUAGUUUUCUCGUUUAAAAAGUUUUACAUUUGUCAUUUCGUGUCCUUUAUAGAGGAUCAUUCGGUAUGGGCUUUGCUAAUUGCUGAAGUCGGUUCGGUGAUCUAAACUUGUGUAUUUCUGUGUCAUUUGGUCUCUUGUGGAGCGUUGUCUCAUUGGCAACAAUUCAAAUGAUAAAAAUUACGGCCUAAUUUAUGUACAAAAAAGCGUGAAAAACAAAUACUUAAGACAUCAACAAACGACAACCACUGAGUGACAGGCUCCUGAUGUUGGACAAGCACAUACUUGAAGAAAGUUUUUAUUCUGCUUGCAGAUGUUAUUAUAGGCAACUUAUUUUGGUUAACAAUUUCAAAAUCAGUACUAGGUUAACAUAAAGCGGAAGGCAAUCCGCUUGCAUUCGCCGGAAUAGUAUACAUAUUGUGUCAUAAGGUUUUUUGCCGAUAUUUUUGUCUAAGCACGUGACAGUAAGAAUUUUCUUAAAACAAUUGUUUUUAUUUAAAACAAAAAGGAAAUCAAAGUUGUAUCGCAAAUAGACAAAAAAAAUUGACUAAGAAGUUACAUUGCAGAACGCUAUAAGACAAUUUUUGCUAAUAUAAUAUAUUCUAUUAUCAUUUACACACUUUCUAACUGAUUUGUAUAUACUGUAUAUCUUUUGUAGUGUCUAGCACAAAAUUAACUAGAAGCAUGAAGGUGUUUGUUUGUUUGGUAGCCUGUAUGUUAUUAAUGUCUAUUGGAGGUAAGAAAAUAAUGAGAACGCCAUGUUACCAUGUACGUUUAAGUGAUAUUGGUAAACAUAAUUUUAUUGUACAUUUUUUCCGAGGUACCAAGACAAAAAGAAACAAAAUACUUACACAUAAAAAGCAAGGAAUCUUUGUUUUUAUCAAUUUUCCAUCAAAAAUACUAAAUAUGGGUUGACAGCUAUCUGUUCUGUUUUCACAGCUGAACCAUAACACACUUAGGUUCAUUUGUUAUCGAGGUAUUUCCAACAACAUUUAAUAGAUGCAAACAAAGCUGUGUUAAUUUAAAAAAAAAACAUUUUUAAAAGUAAUGCGGUCUUGUUGAAGACAAUACGUUGGUGUACAGAUGUGUGUAGUAUAGUGUUUUGUUUUAGAUUGAUGUCUAUUAACGUGUACAUGUAAUUAUCAUCUACUUUCAUUCAAGUUUGAAUAUUGAAACUUACAGUUCUUUUAUAGAACUGAUUUUUUGGAAAUGAAAAGGAUAAUGCUUUUGAUCUUCAAACCAACUUUUUUGGCAAUUUAUAUUAAAAAUAAUAUCUGGUCGUAUACUACCAUUGUUUAUAAUUGUUUAUCGUUUGUCUGUUUAUUUUUAAUUUUAAAUGGAUCAUAAUUAGAAAUUACCGUAACUUUAUCUGAACAGUAUACAGUUCCUUAUUUCCGACUGGUGUAUGUGCAUGAUGAAACAUGUAAACAUGAUCGCGAGAUACAUAUAUAAACACUAUGUUUACUUGUAGUUAGCAUGGCUAAUGACGAAAUGAUGGAAGACAAUGGACUUAUUCAUGAGUAAGUCGGAUUAACCACAUGUGAAUGUUUUGAUUGUUAGAUUCAAUCAAGUGUAAUUAUUUCAGUCUGUCUCAACCGUUUAGCGAGUUUGUUCAAUUUAUUGAUUUUAUUAGAAAUUAUAAGAUAUCAAAGACCAGUAUCCCUUUAACAAAAUGUCAAUUGAAAAUAUGAAAGUAUUAAGGAAUCCGGGUUGUAUCACAGAUAAUUGUAUAUUUCAAAUAGAAAAAGCACAACACUAUACUGUUAAAACCUAACACAACACAUACAGUUGGGUGCAGACCAAGCAUUACAUAAAGUAAACGCAAGUUAACGCGGCGUGCACAUUUUUCGUUAGUUAACUAUAAAUUUCGCGUUUACUAGUAAACGCCCGUUUACUUCAUUUACGUUAACGCGGUCAAAACGGAAAUUUCUAAUGUCUACUCGAGUAAACGCGCGUUUACUAUGUGUCCGUUUAGUCAGUAGUAAACGUCCGUUUACUUCAGAUUUCACGUGCACGUAAAAGUAAACGGGCGUUUACUACAGAUUUCUCAAUUGUAUUUUUAUGCGCACUUGAAAGUAAACAGGCGUUUACUUUUCGCGUUAACUAAUUGUGUAUAUUAUAAAAUAAUCGCCGUGUGCAUUUGUAUAUUUAUUUAUGUUGUUAAAAUGACUUAAUAUUUUACGUAUAUGGGUUUUGAACCCUAACAUUAAAAACCACUUUUUAUUAGAAAUAUAAACAUUUAUUAAUUGCAAAAAUAGUCAGUUCCAAAAACUUUCCACAGCGGAUUUUCUAUUUUUUCUGUUCAAAAUUUACAUGUACAAAUAUCGACUCACAGUUAAACCGGCAUAUUUAAAAAUAGAUAUGCCAAACUUAAAUAUUCCAAAACUUAAUAUCCUCUAACGAAUGUAAACUGAAAGUCUUGUGGGUUUUACAGUUCCAGGAAGAAUUUCCAUUUUGUUCUUAUAUGCAAUGAUUAAUUUUCAAUAAAUUAAUUAAAGAGGUCUAUUGCCAAUAUGUUGAUCGAAAAUGGACAGAUGGAUAUUUUAAUGUACCUUAUCAUGUGAUAUAUUAGGUCAGUGUAUCCAGGAUACGAGGACAAUCUGCGUUAACGCGCGUUUACUACAAACAGUAAACGGGCGUUUAUUUUUUUUUAAAAGAUAGAAGACACGUCUUUUUCGCGUUAACGCGAAGUAAACGCGAAAGUAAACGCCCGUUUACUCUUUACAAGAUUAGAAGACGCGCGGUUUUCGCGUUAACGCGGAGGUGAACGUGAAAGUAAACGCCCGUUUACUAUUUAUGUCUACUAAAAUUUCGGAGUUAACGCAGAGUUAACGUGACGUUUACAUGAAGUGAACGCGAGUAAAUGCCGCGUUCACUUUUUAGGCCCGUUUACAUGUAAUGCUUGGUCUACACCCAACUGUAUGGUGAACAAUGUAUCUCGGACGAAAAUAACCAAAAAUGCAACGCUGAUGUAUAAUAAUAGACUAAUCUCUCUUGCAAGAAAUAAAUUAAGAAUGUAUUACUGUGAAACUGUUAAACUUUAUAAUUUUGAAAUGAUUCAUGCCUGUAGUUUGCAUCUGUCAUGGUAUCAUGUUGUCAAGUAGCAUUUUACAUUUGUGAUGCAAAAUCAGAGAAAACGUUUAUUUUGGAAACAUUCACAACCCGCUUUAACUAUAAAUUAAGAUUGUUGACAGUAAUAGUAGGAUAUUCAGCAUCGAAGUUUUAAAAUAAACAUAUAUUAAACUAAAAUAAACAUACAUUAAACUAAAAUAAACAUAUAUUAAACUAAAAUAAACACAGUGUUAAUUAUAUCAGACGUGCAGAUGAUUUGCAUAAGAUUUAACUUAUCCAAAAUUAUCGCUUACAAAUAUGGGUUAAGAAAUCCCUACCCCAAAUAAAGUGUGUCUACCGAAUAUACACAAUAAGAUCACUCUUAUCAACAAAUUAAAUGUUUUUUUUAUCGAAUACAAGCUAUCAAUGCUUCUUGUUUCAGGCGUGUAAAAAGAGCUCCGUGUUGGCAAAGAAGAUGUACUUUUAACUUCCAGUGCUGUUAUGGCUAUACCUGUUCAUACAAAAGAUGUGUUCGCAAGAGAGGCUAGUUAAUGCGGUUGUCAAUUCUUUACACGUCCUAGCAAGCAUACAAGUUCCAUAAAUAAAUUGUUACUUUAAAUAUUAGUUUCGUGUAAAGAAUAAACUGAU
This 3962-nucleotide long non-coding RNA is filed under the name Mytilus galloprovincialis (Mediterranean mussel). Lineage: Eukaryota; Metazoa; Mollusca; Bivalvia; Mytilida; Mytilidae. The record is from RNAcentral.